RNAcentral lists this non-coding RNA (114 nucleotides) under Clostridium neonatale. Its description in RNAcentral is "SAM riboswitch (S box leader)". It matches the Rfam family "SAM riboswitch aptamer (S box leader)". From Rfam's summary of the family: The SAM riboswitch is found upstream of a number of genes which code for proteins involved in methionine or cysteine biosynthesis in Gram-positive bacteria. The SAM riboswitch acts at the level of transcription termination control. Lineage: Bacteria; Bacillati; Bacillota; Clostridia; Eubacteriales; Clostridiaceae. The record is from RNAcentral.
UUUAUCAAGAAAGACUGAGGGACUGGCCCUAUGAAGUCUGGCAACCUGAAUUAUAUAUCAUUAGUAUAGUUUAAGGUGCUAAAUCCUGCAGAUAUUUUUAUCUGAGAGAUAAGA